Molecule: long non-coding RNA, 253 nt
Filed under: Mytilus galloprovincialis (Mediterranean mussel)
Lineage: Eukaryota; Metazoa; Mollusca; Bivalvia; Mytilida; Mytilidae
Source: RNAcentral
AUUCAUAUAUUAUUGUUAUAGAAAUUGAAACAUUCAUACUUGUUUUUGUGCUUUAUUACAAAUGUCUAUUAUCUGAAUUUGCAAAUUACUUGUCUAAAAUUUAAAAAAAAAAUCAAUGUACAUAACUUAUUUCAUCGACACAAAGUUGUCUCAUGCCAAUAAAAUAUCUAUAUAUUUUCCCCGGGCGCUAUUUGUUCUUCCCCGGGCGCUUUUUCUUCACCCGGGCGCUCCCGGGCGCAUUUUAGUAGGACCC